Molecule: ribosomal RNA, 253 nt
Filed under: uncultured bacterium
Lineage: Bacteria
Description: partial 16S ribosomal RNA
Rfam family: Bacterial small subunit ribosomal RNA
Source: RNAcentral
UACAGAGGUCCCGAGCGUUGUUCGGAUUCACUGGGCGUAAAGGGUGCGUAGGUGGCCUGGCCAGUUUGAUGUGAAAGCUCAGGGCUUAACCCUGAAAUGGCAUUGAAUACUGCUGUGCUGGAGGUUUGGAGGGGGGACUGGAAUUCUUGGUGUAGCAGUGAAAUGCGUAGAUAUCAAGAGGAACACCAGUGGCGAAGGCGAGUCCCUGGACAACACCUGACACUGAGGCACGAAAGCCGGGGGAGCAAACAGG